RNAcentral lists this ribosomal RNA (430 nucleotides) under uncultured bacterium. RNAcentral describes it as "bacterial SSU rRNA". It matches the Rfam family "Bacterial small subunit ribosomal RNA", at positions 354 to 796 of the family's 1533-position model. The record is from RNAcentral.
GUGGGGAAUAUUGCACAAUGGGCGCAAGCCUGAUGCAGCGACGCCGCGUGAGGGAUGGAGGCCUUCGGGUUGUAAACCUCUUUCGUCAGGGAAGAAGCGUAAGUGACGGUACCUGGGGAAGAAGCACCGGCUAACUACGUGCCAGCAGCCGCGGUAAUACGUAGGGUGCGAGCGUUGUCCGGAAUUAUUGGGCGUAAAGAGCUUGUAGGCGGUUUGUCGCGUCUGCCGUGAAAAUUCAGUGCUUAACGCUGGACGUGCGGUGGGUACGGGCAGGCUAGAGUGUGGUAGGGGAGACUGGAAUUCCUGGUGUAGCGGUGAAAUGCGCAGAUAUCAGGAGGAACACCGAUGGCGAAGGCAGGUCUCUGGGCCAUAACUGACGCUGAGAAGCGAAAGCAUGGGGAGCGAACAGGAUUAGAUACCCGAGUAGUCC